RNAcentral lists this ribosomal RNA (225 nucleotides) under Acinetobacter baumannii. RNAcentral describes it as "partial 23S ribosomal RNA". It matches the Rfam family "Bacterial large subunit ribosomal RNA", at positions 2706 to 2925 of the family's 2925-position model. Lineage: Bacteria; Pseudomonadati; Pseudomonadota; Gammaproteobacteria; Moraxellales; Moraxellaceae. The record is from RNAcentral.
CCUCUGGUGUACCGGUUGUGACGCCAGUCGCAUCGCCGGGUAGCUAUGUUCGGAAGGGAUAACCGCUGAAAGCAUCUAAGCGGGAAGCCUACCUCAAGAUAAGAUUUCCCUAGGACUUUAUGUCCUCUAAAGAGCCGUUCGAGACUAGGACGUUGAUAGGUUGGAUGUGGAAGCAUAGUGAUAUGUGAAGCUGACCAAUACUAAUUGCUCGUGAGGCUUGACUAU